Molecule: long non-coding RNA, 27736 nt
Filed under: Oryza sativa (Asian cultivated rice)
Lineage: Eukaryota; Viridiplantae; Streptophyta; Magnoliopsida; Poales; Poaceae
Description: long non-coding RNA (OSAT_LNC001552)
Source: RNAcentral
UCUCUCUGUGUUUACAAAGUGCACCAACAACACUCCUUACAAAAAUUUCGACUAAACUCGAAACCCUAACUCAAAACUCAACUCAAUUGCUCUAAAAAGCGAUACCAGGAAGCCUCACGCUCCCCCUCUAUUUAUACCCGAGGUAGGCAGCCUAAAGCCACGAACCAAACUCAUACUAGGAGUCUUAAACACCUUAGGAAACCCUCUAGUACAAGAAACAAACUUUACAUAACCAAUCAUACCAAAUUUGGACUCCUUCCAAAUUCGACUCCGCAUCCCAUACACACACAAUAACUCCAUCGUAUGCCAUAUGGAAUCUCCAUCAACCACGUGCAUCAACUCUAGCCUAAGUAUUCCGCAUGAUCUCUGACCACCACGGACGUCGUCUUAUCCCCAAGCCGACUCCCGGUCCAUCACCGCAAAUACUCUCCCGAGACAUCGAGUCACCUACACAUGAAAUAAACAAAGAAACCAUAUUCCGAGACCAAGCUAUCUCCAACUUGACUCAUUAGUAGCAAACAACAGUAUUACGUAUAGUAUCCAUCUAGAAGCCAUAAUCAUGAAAUAAUCACGGAUAUCCAAACAAACAACCCAAAACCGAAACCGACACAGCGUCGGCCGGUCAGACCGCGGGCUGCGCCGGACUGACCGCGCGAUACACGCCGGUCUGACCGGCUCACACUGCCCGGUCUGACCAGUCACAUGAAAUAACAACACCUGCGAUUCACCUGUAAAUCCAAUCAUCUCCAAAACCACUUCGUGAAUAAAUUCCAAAUAACAAAACCAAUAAUCGCCGAUGCCAAUUGUUCAUAACAGAAUAAUAAUAAAAAACACCUUUGAUUUUACAAUCUCCCCCUUGAUGAACACAUUGGCAAACCCAUCAAAAAUGUUUUGGUGUUUGGAAAAAUAAAAACAAAAGUGGUAAAAAGCAUACUUUGUACAAACGUACACAUCGUGCUCGAAAAUCCAAAAGAAAACUUCUCCCCCUUUUUAAAAGAAAGAAAUUCCCAAUUGAACCUAAAACAUGCUCUUCUCAACAACUCUCCAAAAAUUCACCUUGCUUCUCCCAAAAAUCCAAAAAUUGUCACAUCACUUCUCCCCCUUUUGACAAUGAUUUCAUCAAGAAUAGGAAUUAUGUUCAUUAAUGUUCAAGAGCUUACCAUACAUAUAGCAUAUCAAGUCAUGUGUUGCAAUAAAAAGAAGAUGAACCCAUCUAUAAUAUAACAAGCAUGCAUUAAAGUAUAACCAUGAACCAAAGAUUCUACAAUUAAGCUUGAAUCAACAUCAAAAUUCAUGAUUUCAUACGAUUUAUAAUGCAACAUCUUAACAAGCACAUAGGUUGAAGAAUAAACACUAAACACAUAUACCUAUUGCAUUUAUCACUCUUUCUCAAAUAACCUUUAGCACAAAAUAACCAAGAGAAUUUUUUGAACCUUUUCUUUUCUUGACCCUUUUUUCUCAUAUUUUUCUCUUUUAUUCCGAGUACGUCCCUGUCGUCAAGAAUGUUUCCAGGGAUUCGGCACCCAUUAUUUUGCUCACAUCGAAUACGUCCUUGUCGUCAAGACUGUUUCCAAGGAUUCGGUAUUCAUUUUUUUUUCAUAUUUUUAUUCUCUUUUUCACAAUGAGCAAUUAAAGCUAUUUGAGGAAUAACAAAUCAAUAAAGCAUAUAUAUAAAGCAUUUAGAAAUCAAACCAUAUGCUAGCAUCAACAUUGCAUAUUUGCUUAAUUCAAGUAUAGAAUUUAAGUGUCAUGCAUCAUCUCCUUUAAAAGCAAAAUCUAAAUCUCAUGAAAAGACUAGAAUACAUACAAGCUAUGCUAGAGACAAAUAAACCUUCAAAGUAUUGCUAGCAUGCACAAGAAAAUACCAUAUGCAUAAACAAAGCUCUUUUUUUUUUAUCAAUUUUUCUCAUUGUCAUAUUUUUGCUUGAUAAAACCAUGAGGUACAAACUCCCUCUCAAACCAUGCCAAAAGGAUGAAUUAUUCCCAAUUCACCACGAAGAAAAGCAAAGCGAUUAGAAUCCAAAGGUUUAGUGAAAAUAUCAUCAAUUUACAACUUUGUGUCCAAAAACUGCAAUUUAACAUCUCCCUUCUCAACAUGAUCCCUCAAAAAGUGAAAGCGAAUGUCAAUGUGCUUUGUGCGUGAGUGUUGAACAGGAUUCUUAGCAAUGUUAAUAGCACUUGUAUUAUCACAAAAGAGAGGUACUUUCUCAAAAGUAAGACCAUAAUCUUUCAAAGUAGAUAAAAGCCAAAGAAUCUGUGAACAACAACUAGCAGCAGCAACAUAUUCAGAUUCAGCAGUUGAUUGAGCAACACUAGAUUGUUUUUUAGAAGACCAUGCAAUCAAUGAUGUACCAAGAAAAUGACAUGUUCCACUAGUACUUUUCCUAUCAAUUCUACAACCUCCAAAAUCAGCAUCGGAAUAUCCACUUAAGCAUAUAGAAGAUGAAGUAGAAUACCAAAUUCCAAACUCAAGUGGAUGAUUCAAAUACCUCAUUAUUCGCUUGACUUCUUGACGAUGUGAAGCACGAGGAGAAGCUUGAAAGCGCGCACACAAACACACAACAAAUUGUAUGUCUGGCCUAGAAGUAGUUAGAUACAACAAAGAUCCAGUCAUACUUCUAUAUUCCUUUUGAUCAACGGCUUCACCAUCUUCAUCAGGAUCCAACACAGCUGUAGAACCAAUUGGUGUUGAAAUUGGCUUGCAAUUCUCCAUCUUGAACCGUCUCAAAAGAUCCUUCAUAUACUUCGUUUGAUGCACAAAAGUACCUUGAGGUGUUUGCUUAAUUUGCAAUCCCAAAAAGUACGAUAACUCACCCAUCAUGCUCAUCUCAAAUUCCCUGCGCAUAGUCUCAGCAAAAUCUACAACCAAAGCGUGAGUUGAACAACCAAAGAUGAUAUCAUCCACAUAAAUCUGAACGAACAGUUGAUUAUCACCAUGCUUAAGAACAAAAAGCGUUUUGUCAACCUUUCCCAUUGUAAAACCUUUCGUAAGCAAAAAGUUCUUAAGCCUAUCAUACCAUGCCCUAGGAGCUUGUUUCAAACCAUACAAAGCUCUAGACAAUUUAAAAACAUGGUUGGGAAAAUCAGGAUUUUCAAAACCUGGUGGUUGUUUGACAUAAACUUCCUCCUGUAUAAAACCAUUUAGAAAAGCACUUUUCACAUCCAUUUGAUACAAUUUAAAACCUUUUGAAGCAACAAAAUCCAACAAAAGUCUAAUUGCCUCAAUGCUAGCAACAGGAGCAAAAGUUUCAUUAAAAUCCAAACCCUCAACUUGAGUAAAAUCUUGAGCAACAAGUCUAGCUUUAUUUCUCACAAUCAAACCAUCCUCAUUUUGUUUAUUUUUGAAAACCCACUUGGUUCCAAUAAUAUUAUGUCCAGAAGGUGGUUCAACUAAAGUCCAAACUUUGUUUCUCUCAAAAAUUUCAAGUUCUUCAUGCAUGGCGUUAAUCCACGAUUCAUCAGUUAAUGCACGUGACACAUCUUUGGGUUCAAAAGAAGCAACAAAUUACCAUCAUGAGUCGUUACCUUAGACCUUGUAGUCCGCUCACCUAAAUUACCAAUUAUUUGUUCCGGCAGAUGUCGUCGUUGAAUAUGCAAAGGAGCAGCAACUUUUGAAGUUGAUCCACGUUUUGUAUCAGUACUGGUCGAAGUAGUAAUCUCUAGAGGACCAUCUCGAUCAGCAUCAACAGUACCCGAUCCCGACGACCUUGGCCGGUCUGACCGCACAUCUUGCGCCGGUCUGACCGGAGGUGUGCCGGCGGUCUGACCAGCCGAGCCGACCUCGUCGUUGUCGCUCUCGUCUUCAAAAAUACGACCAUCCUCCCCCUGAACCUGUGACAGUGUACCUGCAAUAUCGGGUCUAGUACCUGGACUAGCCUCAUCGAAAGUCGCAAGUCUCAACGAUUUUGUUAGACUCCAAAAUAAGUACACGAUAGCCACGAGUAUGUGCGGGGUAACCAAGAAACAAUCCAUCGGUAGAACGUGCCUCAAACUUAUCCAAAUUUCCAGAUUUCAAGACAAAGCACUUGCAACCAAAAACACGAAAAUGUGAAACUUUGGGUUGAUGUCCAAAUCAAAGUUCAUAAGAAGUUUUUCCAAGUUUUGAUCUCAAGAAAACCCGAUUUGAAAUAUAACAAGCAGUGUUAACAACCUCAGCCCAAAAUUUUCUAGGAGUUUUAUAUUCAUCCAACAUUGUUCUAGCCAUCUCAAACAAAACACGGUUUUUCCUUUCAACAACACUGUUUUGUUGAGGAACACGAGGAGAAGAAAAUUCAUGUUCAAGACCUCUUUCGUUGCAAAAUUUUCAAAAGAAGCAUUUUUAAACUCACCACCAUUAUCACUUCGAAUUCUUUUCAAAGAACCAUGAAAUUCAAGAUCCAAUUGAAGAAACAAACCACGAAAGUGUUGAAAAGCUUCAUCCUUAGUUGCCAUAAAGAAAACCCAAGAAUAUCGAGAAAAAUUGUCAACAAUAGCCAACACAUACCACUUUCCUCCAACAGAUUGCACUCUAGCUGGACCAACAGUGUCCAUAUGUAAUAGCUGUCCCGGUGCAUCCGUCAUCACAGAAACAAUAGGAGCAUGUGAAGUAGAAACCAUCUUAGCAUGACGACACGGUGUACAAACCAAAUCAAGAUCUUUCUUAAGUUUAGGCAAACCACGAACAAGAUCCAAAUCACUUAACCUAGUGAGAUGAUUAAAACCAACAUGUCCAAGUCUAUGAUGCCAAAACAUCACAUCUUUAUCAAACUUAGCAACCAAACAUGUUAUCACAGGUGAAACAGGAUUUUCAAAAUCAACUUUAAACACUCUUCCAUAGCGAGAAAUAUUCAACAAAAAAUUACCACAAGAGUCAAAAACUUUACUUCCAGUUUUCUUAAAGUGAACCUCAAAAUUUUCAUCAACAAUUUGUGAAACCAAAAGCAAAUUGUACUUUAAGUCCUCAACCAAAGCUACAUUCUUCAAUUCAAAAUUUUCAUUUACCUUAACCAAACCUGUAGCGAGAACGGCACUUGUAGAAGCAUCACCAAAGAUAAUCGAUUCAGUCUUGGAUGCCUUCUUAGAGGGAGGAGAACCAAUUUUUAUCACCGGCCAUGUGCCGCGAACAACCGGAAUCCACGAUCCACAUGUUCUCCUUCCUUGCCACCAAAGCCUAUACAUAAGCAGAAGUCGAAGCCUCAGUACUGGAGUUAGAUGAUAAUAAAAACUUAGGAAUCCAGUACUGAGACACACGACCAGAAGAUCCAAUAGGCAUAUAUCCACGUGCAAAAUCAAUUUGAGAAUUUUCAGAAAAAUUUCUCCGAGGCCGGUCUGACCGAGGUACAGUGGCCGGUCUGACCGGUGUCCGGUCUGACCGAGGCUCUGCAGCUGUAACAUACUGAAAAUUUGCUAUUUUCUAAAUAUGCAUCAUGCUGAUUCUUAUGUUUUUAAUAACUUCCUAAACCUAAGAAAUUACAAUUAGAGGGACCUCCUAAAACUAACAUGCAUAAAAUCCAUGUCUAGUAUUUAAAAUCUUUCGUGCUUUUAUUCUAAAAUUGAUCUUUUUAGAUCGAGGUAUUCUCUUUGAUUUGAUUUUGCAUUUUAAAGCUUCUUUCGACCAAAAUUUCCUUAAUUCAAAUUUAGUUUGAAAAUCCUUUUUACUUUUGUGAAAUAUGGUCCAAGAAAUCCUCCAACACUACCUUUGAACCUAAAUCGAAGCAAUUCCAAUCUUAUUGGAAUUAAUUGUCAACCCAUCCUUUGAUUUCAAACCUAUUCUUAUUACCAAAUAUUCAAGUUCCUCCUUUUGAUCUAGCCACCAAUUUAAUCCCUAUGGCUUGAUUUCCUAUCCAGCACAAGAUUAACAAUAUUUUAAUGAUUGCUCUUGUGCUUAGAAAAUUCCAAUUUAUUUUCCUCAUCCAAAAUUCAAAUUCCCUCAAACUUCACCUUUAAAGAUGUUGCACUCAAAUAAACCAGAAAAUAUCUCUUCUGGAAAUUAUAUCCAAAUAUAAUUUCCUUUCAAACCUUCCUAUUCAAAUAUUCUCCAAAUUCGAAUCCCUUGUAAAACUUAGCCAUCCAAAAUUCCUUUGAAUCAAAUUAUUCAAACCUAUAUGAAAAUUAGAUUCCUUCCUUUUGUUUUUGGGCCGAAUUCUCCUUCUUUCUUACUCGGCCCAGGCCGGCCCAGUUAGCUGAGCCAACUCGUCUCUCCCUGUGGGCGCCGCCACCACCGAGCACCGUGGCCGCGUGUGGCGCGCGUGUACGCGCCGCCGCCGCCGCCCACAGCGCUUUGCUGCCGCCGUCGUCUUGCCUUCACCGCUAAGCAUCAGCCGCUGACGUCAGCCGCCACCUCACAUCGCUGACGCCAGCCACUGCACCAAACCGACAUGAUCGACCAAUCAGAGUUAGAGCCGGCGUCGAGUUCUUCUUCUCCACCCAACCGGCGUCGUGCUCUCCUUCUCUUCCUCCUCUCCGAAACCGCCUCUAACCACCGCCUUUCCUCGCCUAUAUAUAGCCGAAGAGGCCCCGUUUCCUUCCCCAUAGCAGAGCUCCUCGAGUUCUCUUCUCUCUCUCUCCGGCCAUGUCCGGCCAUUGCCGCCACCACUCGAUCUCCCUCACCGGUGCAUUACGGACCAAACCCUCGCGCCACCGUGCUUGCCUCGACGAGGUGAACCCAUUUUUCUAGUUUCCCCUUUCCCUUAGUAAUCCUAUAAGCCACUAUAGCCACUUCUUUUAUCGCCGGAGCAAAGCUUUUGUCUCCACCGUUCCGGCCUCCUCCCUUGUUCCCUUCGCCUGCCACUGCCUUUCCUAAGUGCGCCGUGCGCGGGAACACGCGCCGCCGCUGACGCCGCCGUCCCCCAUCCACCAGAGCGCCGGCAGCCCGCUCGCCUUCCCCUCUUCCUCCUCUCGGUUCUCUGUGAAACAGAGAGAAGAGAGAAGACGGGAGGAAGAAGGAGGAAAAGAAAAAGAAACGGAAAGGCUAUAUGACUGUCGCAUGUUUUUGUUGGGCUGUAUCAGUCGUUUUUUUGGUCCCUUGGAUUUUGUUUGAGAUUCGUGCUAUCUAGACUUUUGUUUUCUUUUGUAUGUGGGCUUUUGAUUAUUGUAAGUUCGGGCUUCCAUACGUGGGCUAAAUGGGCUUCUUUUUUUUUUACAUUUUUGUGGGACCCACUUUGUGUUGCCGAUAGAGAAAUUUUUUUGUGAGAGUGUUAAUGGUGGGACCCACAUACACUAUUCAAAUUUUGAAAUCCGCACCGGAGAGAGAGAUUGUCUGAAUCAGACUAGAGAGAGAGUGUGAGAGAUUCAUUUUGCUUUUUGCCUUUUUCCUCGUCGUCUCGUCCGGCGAUUUCGGCGGAGAUUUCGUCGGCGACUCCGGGAGGCGACGACGCUGCGUAAGCUACGCCGCGGCGUGGAUUCGUGCAGGCUACGUCGCGGCGGUGAUUCCACUGGAGUUUGCGGUGUGGGCUUCUCCAUCUUGUCCUCGAGCUCCUUCUCCUCUUUUUCUCUGGUGAGUAUGUUUUGAUUCUUCUCCAGCUUCAUUUGUUAGCUUGCUGCUCGAUUCGUUGUUGUUUUGCUCCGCUAGUUGUGCUCCUUUUGCCGAUGGAGAGAGAGAGUUAUAGAAGGAGAGGUUGACGAUUUUGUCGUCUCGUUCUCAUCGUCUCCGGCGACGCGGCGGCGAUUUAGCGAGGCGACGAGGCUGCUCUUCGGCGAGCCGCGCCGUCGAUUGCGCAAGAUUAUUCCAGUGGCUUUCCUUUUUGUUUUUUUUCCUUUUUUGUUCAUUUCCAUCUCCUAUUUAGCAUGCUACAUGUUGUGUUUCGUUGAUUCUGUAGUACUAGUCGUUCUAGUUUUCGUAGAUCUGAGCACCUUUUGUUUCGGUGUUUGUUUCAUUGAAUCCCCAUGAUUCGUGUUCGAUUUUGCUUUUGUGAUUUUUUUUAGGUUUCUGUGAUAUAUUUGUUCAUAAAUUUGUGCUAUGCGAUGUUCUAGAAAGUUUCGUUUAUGUGAUGUGUGAUGUGUGAUCUGUGAUAUGUGAUAUGUGAUUUACGAAUUGUGCUCUGUGAUCUGUGAUGUGUAAAGUUAGAUCUAGUUUUUCCCAUGGGAAUUUGAGUUGAAUCUAUAGUUGCUCCCUUGUUCUCCGGAUGUUAGGUUGUGAUUUGUUGAAUCUGCGAGUUGCUAUUUUAGUAGAUGCGUGUGAUUUGUUUUGAAUGAUGUUUAUGAAGAAGUUUGCUCAUGUUUGGAUUUAUAGAAGUUUGUGUUGCAUUAUUUUGUCUCUCUUACUAUUUGUACUUUAUUUGUAGUCUUCAACUAUUUGUUUAGCUUGCUAGCUGAUGAAUUAUUGUUAGCUGUAGAUCUGAUAGUGAAUUAUUGCUGUGAUUUAUGUAUUGAUUAUGUUUCUAUUUUCCCUGUGUGCUAUGCAAUGUUCUAUUUCUCAUUUCAUUUUUUUCCAUUGCUUAUGAUAUGUGCAUCCUUAUAAUAACUCCUUGUGCUUUUUUUUUUGUCUCUCUCCCUUUGUUUUAAUUAUUAGAUGGGUCAUCAAAAGAACUGUUGUACAGAUUCAGAAACUUUGCAUCAUGAUGAUGUGUGUGAUUUAGUUGUGUGUUGUAUUACUAUUGCUACAUAAGUACUAUAUCCACGUUGUAUUUUGUUUUCUAGUUCUUUGUGUGUACUCAAAUGUAAGCUAGAAAUAUGAAGCCUGAGAUAUUGAUCUGAAGUGUAGAUCAAUAUAGGUUUUAACUUAUAUAGAUCAUUCGAUUCCUAUAUAGACAGCCCCUUAAUUUAAUUUCUGUUAAGUUAGGGCAGGCAUGCAGGUUAAUUGAUUUUGUUACGCUAGUUUAUUGAGAACUUUAUGAUCUAUGCAAAUUUGUUAGCCUUGUGGGAUUUGGAUGUCUUUUUGUAGCUGUUCAUAAUGUUUGUAGUAGACUGGAUUACACUCUAGUGCAAACCCCAUUUUUGUUAUUGGACUCGUGUUUAUGUACUUAGGUCUAACAUGUCUUCCCCUUUGGGGAUUUAGACGCCAUUUGUGUCGGUUCUACUGCUAAUGUUUGUAGUAGACUGGAUUCAUUGGAUUGCGUGCCUCUGCAUAGACCAACUGUGGAAUGGUCAUGUUCCCUAGUGUGAAUCAGGUGUACAGGGCUUAAGUUUGUGAGAUUGUUUGACUUUUUAUCAUAGUGUGGACCUCUUUGCAUAUAUUUGUGAGGACAUGGAGAUAUACUAUAACAUUUGACUUACAAGUUGAAAGUACUAACCAACGUAUAUAUAUUGUACUGGGAGUUAAUUUUGUUCGUUUGCCAUGUUUAAGUAAUGUUCAUUUUUUUCUUGAAUAAAGUGGUCAAUUUCUGAGGAAUUAUAUAUCUUUUUUUAAUGCAUACCUUCACUUAUUUUAUAAUUUAUAGUCUGCCAAACUUUAUUGAUUUUUUAUUGCUAUUUUUAAUAGAUGGUUCACCAAAAGCGUUCAAAAUUGGAUAAUUGUAGCCAGCCCAUAAGUGAAUCUGAUGAUAUUAAUUCUGAGUCUUUGCCUGCUAAAGAUGAUGAUUACAAUUGUGAUUCUGAUGAUAACUCAGCCAGUCAUGUAAGUUUAUUUUACAUUUCAAUUUCAUUGAUUUGUAAUAUAGUUGUUUUUUUCAUUUCCAUUUGUAAAUUCAUGAAGAGUUUGCAAUUAUACAUUCUCAUUGCUUGGUAGCCAAUGUAAUAGUAUGACCAAUAUUUUCUUGUUUUAUUUGUUCUUGAAUUGUCAUGUUGUUCCAAGGUCAGAAUAGUAUCCAUUAUUCUUUCAUUAUUUUUUUUCAUUAGUAUGCAGUUGUAGCUCUGUUGUAGCCAUGUUUCAUAGCACAUUUGCAAUGUUUUAAUUGUUUAAUAUGUUUUUUUAGGAUAUGGAUGUUUCACAACCACAUGUAAAUGAAAUUUCUACAAAUGAACUUCUGAAAACUUUGAAAAGGAAACUCAGUAAGUCUAAAAGAAGUGAAGAUGAUAACAUUAAGGUAAUUAUUUUGUUUGUUAUUUUUCAUUUUAUAUUUUUCCAUCAUUCUUGUUUUUAAUUUUGAAUUUUUUUUAAGAUGAAAAGGUCUGAAUCUAUUGAAUUGGACAAUGAUGUAAUGAUAAAUCAGGUUCUACGUGAUAUCAUACAAAGGGAUCAAAUUAUCAACAGUUUGAAAAAAAAGCUUAAUAUUCAUCACAACAUAGGUGAUCAAAAUUUGAAGGUUAGUUUUUUGCAAUGCCCUUUUAUAUCUAUGUUUGGUUUUUAUUUAUUGAUUAAAUUGUUUUAUUUUCUUUUUGUCAGGACAAAAAUGUUGACACUGAUUUGAAGUCUGAUGCAUUCUCUAGAUUCUCAGUCAAAUAUUUCUCAAAAGUUGAUUCUUUAAGUCCACAUCACAAAACAGUCAUUGAAAAUUCUUGUUUUCAAAGCAUGCUGCUAUUUGACAAGUGUUUUGUUCCCAAUUCUUUUGCUCUCUGGAUUGCAAAACAAGUAGAUGUGAACUGUUCUGAUAUAGUUUUGGGCCAAAAACUUAUUCCAUUGAACAAGCAAUUUGUCCAUGUUGUGCUAGGCCUCCCUGUUGGUGGUAGUACAAUCCAUUCAAAAUUUGAUUCUGGCAAACAAAAGAUUCUUCAGAUUUUUGGGAAAACUUCUAUUCCUUCUGUCAAGUUCUUUGGAGAAAAGUUAAUUAAAAAUGAAGAACUUCCUGAUGAUCAAAUUCUCAUCUGCUUUAUGAUUGUUUCCUUGAAUUGCUUUCUUUGUCCAAACUCUUCUUUGAUUCCAAGUACAAAAUACCUAAGUGCCUUUGAAGACAUGGACUUAAUUGAAAGUUUGGACUGGUGCAAGUUAGUUUUUGACUGGUUGAUGGAACACAUUAGCAAGAUUGAGAAAUCAAAAACUUUUGGUGGUUGUUUAUUCCAUUUAGCGGUAAAUUUUUUUCCCUCCAUUUAUGCUAAUUUAUAUUUUGUACUAAAUGACUAUUCAUUUAAUUUCUAUAUUCAAUGUUUCAUAGGUUAAUUACCUGGAUUUUCUCAACUUUGGUUCACAAAAAGUAUUACUUGAUACACCAAGAAUAAAAGUUUGGAAAAGAUCUAUGAUUAAGGACUAUUCCAAAUUUGAUAAAAUAUCUGAAGGAGUGUAUGGAAAAAGACCAGUCAAUGAUAUUGCUUCAACUUGUUACCCAAUGGUAAAUGUUCAGUUUUUUUUUUCAAAUUUUUUAUCUUUUUAAGUUCUAAUAAAUUUUCUUAGAUUGGAAUUGAAAAUUCUGUUUUAAUUUUUUAGGUGAAUAAUAGCUCAUCUUCAUUUGCUGAUAUGCUCAAAAGUUCUGUUGGUGAUCUGUUGCCAAGUGAUGUUCAAGACAAAAUUUGUCAUUUGCUCUGCUAUCAUUUUGGAAAAGAAGAUGAAAUCUUUGAAGACAAGGCUAAGAAACUUCUUAUAGAUGUUCUGUUGUUGUUAGCUGAUUGUAGUUCCAAUUAUCCUACUCAACCUGCUGCACAUGAAAAUUCAGGUUAUUACUUUUAAUUUACGAAUUUUGUUGUUUAUUUUAUUUUUAAUUUUUUUCCAUUCAUAUGUCUUGAUUUUUUUUAUAAAUUUUAAAUUAAGGAAUUGAACCAGAUCAUGAACCAGUUGAAGAAAAUAAUGAUGAUGUUAAUCAAGCUGUGAAAAAAAAUAACAAUUUCACCUCAUCUCCAAAGGUACAUUGUUUUCUGUUCUCAUUUCAAUUUUUUUUAUUCUAAUAGUCAUGUGAAUCAUUAAGCAUUUUUUUGUCCUUUUAUUUUUUUUGUAGGGAAACAGUAAAACAAUACUAGAUGAUGAUAAGUUGCCAAUUCCAAAUGAAGAAUUUAAUCCUGUGAAUAAGUCUACCAUUUUGAAUUCUUCAGAAGAGGUUUUUUUUUCAUUUUUAUUUCAAUCAUUAUAAUCUGAAUAUAUAGAACUGUAAUUGUUGAUAGUUUUUAACUGUUAUUUUUUAUCUGUGCAGAUUAAACAUAUCAACAUUGAUGAAAUAAUGACAAAGUUGAACAAAACAGGUUAUUUUUUUUUCUAAAUUUGUUAAUCUGUUUUUUUAAAAAAUUAAAUAUGAAUUAUUGAUGUUUGUGCCUAUUUAACAUUGAAGGUCAUGUUCCUAUUAAUCCACCAGAUGAAACAGAGAAAAAUUCUGCCUUGACUGGUAAAUUUUUUUUUAAUGGAAUCUCAUUUGUUUUUACUCGUAUAUCUUUAAUUGUUCUAGCAUCAAAAAAAUUGAGUUAUUGUAAUAUUUCAUUUCUUUUGUCAUGUGAUUUUAGUGCACUGUACUAUGGUCCUCUUACUUUUUGUUGCCAUAUUUUUUGUUUCUAAUUCUUAUGUUAUUGCUAUAGCUCGAAACAAUCAAGUUUUUCAUGAUCAACCGUCUUUUAAAAUCUGGGAUUCUGAUGAUGACCUCCAUCAUGAAAAUGAUGAUUUCAAAAAAGAAAUUACACCUGCUCAUCUUGUAGAUUCAUAUCAAGUUAUUCCUGAUUCAUACUCCCCAAAUCCUGUUUUAAGAAAUAAGGUACUUGUGAAGUAACUUCAAAUUUCAUAAGGAAUACUUUUUUAGAACAUUAUAUUGAUUUAUACAAAUCUUGCAGAUCACUCCAAGAAAGUUGUCUCAAACUUUUGCUGCUGCUGUUGAAAGCCCAAUAAUCUGUUCAGACAGUCCGGUAAUUCUAACAUUAAUUUCUUUCUUUAUUUCUUCUGUAUAUACAAACUAACUUUCAUUUGUUAAAUUUUGAAAUUUUAGGAUAAGAUGUACAUGGUGACACUUGAAAAUUCAACUUCUCCUAAUGCUUCUCUCAAUGAAAACAAAGAAAAUGAAAAAGGUUGUCACAUCAUAAAGGUAUGAAUAAUCUCAUAGUUUAUUUUCAUUGAUGUUCCCUUUUUGAAAUUAAAUGGUGUUUAAAAAUUUUUCUAAUUCCAUUUUUGCAUUGUUGUUCUCCAUAGUUUUGCUGUAAUUCUUGUAGGUUACAAUGUAUUUCAGUUCUAGUUAAUAACAUACCUUCUUUCUUUUUUUAUUCCAAAAGGUUUUUCUUCUCACUGCUUAUUCAUUUCUUUUUAUUCAGUUUAUAAUCUCAAGUUUGUAAGUUUGCUGUUGAACAUCACUAGUUUAUUUGCUGAACUGUUAUUUCAUAUUGAUAUUUCAAAUAUUUCAUGCCCUGUACCUUACUUUUAUUUAUCAUUUUUCUGUUCUGGUUAUAAGCUAAUAAUUAUUAUUUUUUAUUUCUAGUUAUUUUGAUUUUCUUUUUUUAAUGUGUUUCUAACUGUACUAUUUAAUUUAUUUGUUAAAUUUCAAGAUUCACCUGAUGUUGUUUUUAUUGGUGAAAAGAAAUUCUCUAAGAAAUGUGCUGAUAUUUGAAACAAAACCAACAUGAUGUACAAUAAAAUGAAUAGAAUUCAGUUGGAUUCUCAGAAACAAAACUUCAAAACCUUUGCUAGUCCAGAAAGAGUUUUGUUAUGAAACAUGAAGAAUUUCAAUCCAAGUACUUCUGGAACAAAACCAAUUCAUCACGAUCUUAGAAGGGUAAUCAAUCCCGCAAAGUAUUGCACAGAUCCUUAUACUCCUCAAAGAUCAAACUUCACAGUCUCACAAUAUGAAAGACAAAUUUAUAAUGCUGUCUGCACUCUAUCAACAAGCAGAUAUCAAGAGUAAGUACUAUUUUGUACUUUUUUUUUCUAAUAAUCUUCAUUUUCAAUGUAUGAUUUGUAAUUUGAAUUUAUUUGUAUUCUGAAUGUAGACGACAUGCAAUUGAAAUUGAUGGUGUUCACUGCAAAUUCAGUUCUUUUGGAGGAUCAUUUAAUUUUGGACAUGAAGUUUCUAAUUUUGUUGUCUCUGUGUUCUGCCGAUAUUUGUUUCAUUUAUCUCACCCCUCAAAAUCCAAAAAACAUUAUUUCUUCUCUUCUAUUGGAGUAAGUUUCUUAAUUUCUGUUUUAUUAUAUUUAUAAUUGAAAACCAAUUUUUACUAUAUGUUUAAUAUUUAAAUUAUUGAAUACACUUGUGCUAUAGGAUGAUCUUCUAAAGCAUCCAUCAAGAACUGAUUUCUCAUCAGUUAGGAAAUGCUUUGAUGGUGCAUCAAAAGCUAGACCUAUUCAAUCAUGUGAAAUGGUUUGUGAAUUUGUAAAUUACUUGUCAUAUUUAAUUUCAUAUUUCCUUUUACAUUUAUAAUUUAUUUUAUUUAAUUGUUUCAACUCUUCUUUCCAAUUCUCUACAAGCGCCACUGGUUUGUUUUUAUUGUUCAUCUGAAAGAUGAAAUGUUUGUCUUUCUUGACUCAUUACAUGAAGAAGGUUCUGAAUAUCAAGAUGAAGUUAAGAAUAGAUUGGUCAGUUUAUUUUCAAAUUUUUAAAUAUAUGUAUUACUGUUCAAUUUGUGAUUUGGAAUUUAUAAUUACAGAGUUUUCUUUUUAUGUUUUGUAGACAUCCAAUUUUGCACUUGCUUGGAAUUCCAUUAUGGAAGAAUAUCAAAUCAAUUUUGAUGCUUUCAAAAUUGUAUAUCCACCAGUACCUCGCCAAAAUAAUCUGUAAGUUGUUUUUCUUUACUGUAACUUUUAGUCCAAUAAUAUUUUUUAUUUGUUUGUUUUUGUUGGUUAGAGUUGUACAGAUGCCCAAUUGUUCUCUUGUUGACAGGAAUCUUGUAUGUUCUGUUGGUCAUUCAGAAAUUCUUGACUGUUCUGCUUUUCUAAUUGUUGCAUAACCUGUUUGUUUUGCUGUUAAUGCACAAUUUUAGUUUGUUUGUUAUGAUUAUCAUUCAAAAAAUUUAGUUCCUGUUUGUCAAUUGUUUCAUUCAGAAUUACUAGAUGGGAUAAGAGCCUGUUUCUUAGUACAACAUGGACUAGAACUGCAAUAGAUUUCAUUAGUAAAUUUACAGAGUAAAUAGUAUGACCAUAACUGCAUUAGCUUUUUUUAAUUUUUUUUGUUUUUUUUAUUUUUUAUGAUAAGUAACUGUGGUUACUUAUGUCCUUUUUCUUUUUCCUAGUUUUGAUUGCGGAGUUUUUACUCUAAAAUACAUGGAACUAUGGGGUCCAAGAGUUCAGCUGACAAACCAUUUCUCUCAAAAAGACAUUCAAAACAUUAGGAUUCAAUAUGUCAACCGUCUUUUCUUCCAUCCAGACAAUUCUGUUCUCGGUACAGGAACAAAGAAACUAGUGAUUGACUUUGCUCAGGUAAAUUUUUUUUAGAAUCAUUAUUUUUUUCACAAUUUUGUUUUUUAUUUAGUGCUUAUAUUUUUAUAUCUCUUUUUAUUUGUAGGGAAAUUGAUUCUGGAAUAAAUUUUGUUUGUUCAAAUAUGACAGUUGACAACUUUUGCAGGGCUACAACUGUACAUAAACUCAUGUGGUAGAUAAAAUGCAAAGUAGUUCAUAAAAUGUAGUUGAUAUAAGAAACAAACAUUUAAGUACAAACCAGUGUACAUGUUCUGGAAUAUUACAGAAACUUAUGGAAUAUGUCUAUUUCCAUUGUAUUCAAGUAAACCUCUCUCUAUUUUUAGUCAUUUCCAUUUCUAUUCUUUUGUGCCACCCCUUUUUGAUGAAGAUGAAUUUAUCUUCUUUUUGCCUUCUAAUUCAGCCCCAGAAUUAUGCUUCUCCUGUGAUAUAUCUUGUUGCAAAUCUUUUCUUUUGUUUGAAACAUCUUUCUUUUUCUGCUCUACACCAUCCUGCAACAAAUAAUAUCUUUCUUUAUUACUUUUUUUAAAAAAAUUCAAUUCAUAUGGAUUUGUAAUUUUUGUUACCUGUUCUCUUGUAUUUUUAACCUUUCUUCUCUUCUUCCUUGGCAAGUCAAACUCAACGUGUUUCAGAGGGCACGUUGGAAAUGUGUGAUCUGUCCUCUGACAAUGACUGCAAUGAUAUAGUUCUUUUUGCUGUAUUUCUUCCCUGAUUGUCUUGUAUCUUUGAGCUGGCCUGCCUUUGGAUUUUGCAAUAUCUGGAUCCAACAAUAUUUCUUCUGUAUUUUCCUCAGAUUGUUGAUUGCCUUUUUCAUGUGAGUUCAAAUUGUCUUCUGCAUUUAGAUCUGAAUCAUUGAUCUCCUGCUCAGCAUCUUUAUUUGAACACAUUAAUUCCAAUUGUUUAGCAAUUUUGUCCAUCUCUUCCACUGCAAACUGGAAAGUUUCAUUGCUUUUCGAUCCAUUUGAUGCUAUUUCUGCACUUUUCCUUGACAAAAUGUUGAAUCUCAGGAUUGAGCUCUGUGCUAAAGGUAUAUUUCCAUUGCCUUUUCCCCUAAGACCUUUGUACUCUUUUUUUGUCCAUCUUUCAAUAAUAUAUUUUUCUGGUAUCUUCAUUGCAUUGAGGUGGAGCAUUACUUUCAAUACAUGGCAGCAUAGAAGUCCAUCUUUCUCAAACUUUGAGCAAAUGCAGUUGAAAUCCUCUUUUUCCAAGUCCACAAUAACAAGGUACUUCCUGCUUCUGAUUACUUGAAUAUUUUGAUUCAAUGCCAAAAAAACUUCAUAAGUUUUGAACUUCUCUACUUUAUUUAUUUGAAAUCUAGUUGUUCUUUUCAACUCAACUUGAAACUUGAUGAAGAUUUUGCGAUUAUACAUUCUCAUUGCUUGGUACUCAAUGUAGUAAUGGGACCAAAGUUUGCUUGGUUUCUUUGUCCUUGAAAUGUGAUAAUCAAACUAUUCCAAGUUUUGAAUUGUAUUCAUUACUCUUUCAUACUCUAUCAUGAAGUUUGUAAUGCUGUACUGUGGACCAACAUUAUUCUUAAACCUUGAGUUAGUCCCUUCACUGAGAGCUGUGCUUUUUAUAAAUGGACAAAAAUCACCCUUAAAAUACACUGGAAUAAAUCUUUUUCUAAUUGACCACAUGUGCUUUAGAAAAUUGAUAUGCUGAACUUCAAAGCUGUCAAUCAUUUCUUGCCAUAAAUACUCAAAUUCUUCUUCUGUAACUGAGUUAUUUAUGAUGUCUUCAUACUCAUCAUACAACCCUUCUUUUGCUUUGAACAAAUUUCCAGAUCGAUUGAAAGCUUUCUUUACAAUAUGAAAGAAGCAAUUUCUGUGCUUUGCAUUUUGAAAUACUUGAGCAAUUGCUGAUCUCAUUGCUCCAUCCUGAUCAGUAAUGAUUGUUUUUGGUUCUUUUUGUGACAUAGCUUUCAAAAAAGUUCUGAACAGCCAUUUAAAUGUUUCUGAAGUCUCAUCAUGCAAAAAUGCACAACCAAAAACAAUUGUGUUUCCAUGUCCAGAAAUUCCAACAAAGGGAGCAAACGGGAGGUUGUAUCUGUUGGUGAAAUAUGUUGUGUCAAAACUCACAACAUCACCAUAUUUCUCAUACCACUCCCUCGAUCUCCCGUCUGUCCAAAACAGAUUUUUCACUUUCUUGCUCUCAUCCAAAUCAAACUCAUAAAAGAAAUGUGGAUCUUUUUCUUUUUUCCUUCUGAAAAAUUCUAAAGUUUUCAUCAUAUCAUUGCUGCUUGUCUCCUUGUUAAUUGUGGUUCUCACAUUGCUUAUAUCUUUCUUCGUAUAAGGCAAAGAAGUCAAUCAUCCUCUUAGAACAGAUAAAAUCACAAUCAUGUGCCUUGUUGGUAUAUUACAUUCCUUCAAGGUCCUUAUGAGCAUUUUUUCUUCUGUAGUCAUGUGUUUGUGUGAUUUGAGAAAUCUCACUUCAUCUCUUGGACUUAGUUGAUGAUUGUGGUCUAAUUGUACCCUUGAAAUAUUCCAAAUCUCAUUCCUCUCUGAAAUAACCAGAGCACACUUGCAAUCUGUUGCAUCAUUUUCAUUUGUAUUUCUUUCCAUUCCUUUUCUUGCUUGUUGUGUGGUAGUUGUGAGCCCUGACAAUAGAAAAUCUAGCCAACAGAGCAUAGAAGUUAAAGAAUUCAUGUGCUUCUGUAAUAGUCUUAAAUUGUGUUCCAACUCUUGGUAUAUAUCUGCUAUCAAUUGCUGCAUUAUUGCCCUUUGUAGCUUCUUCCUGUUCAUUCUCUACGAAAAUAUUUAUGUCUUCUUCUGUCAGCUCUUGUUGAUUUGUUUCAGAGUUAUCAUUUGGAUUAUUGUCAUCAUCUCUUGUUCCUUGAACUGAAGUACAUCGAUGAUUAUCCAUUGAGCUUGGUUCCUGCAAAAAAAAAGCAGUUCCAUUAGUUUCUGAAAUUAAUUUUCUAGCCUAUUCAUUACUAAUCUGAAUUAUUCAAUUUAAUUUUUUAAGAAAUAUUAAUGUUUGUACUCUUUCUUUUGCAGACUAUGAAACUUCAAUCAUCAAUCAUUGUUAUCUAGAGAAAAAGGUACAAACAACAAAAAUUACCUUUUCACCAUCUAACAAAUUGAAUAUAUCAAGAUUCCAAUUAUCCAUUGCAUCCUCUUCAUUACUCUCAUCUUCUUGGAAUUUGAAUUACAUUACAGUUAAAAUUUACUAAAAUUAUCAUAAUUUUUAAUACUACAACAGGAAGUAAUACAUCCAAGACAACAUGCCUCAUUUGCCGCAUCAUUAUUCCAUUCUUCAAUAUUAGCAUCAGUACGAUUUGUUGUUAAUAUCAUUGAAUUCUGCAAAACAAAAUUUUUAUAUCAAUACUUAUUUGCUUUUGAAUUUGAAUUAUUAGAUUCAAUUAAAUAAUUAAUAUUUCAUACCUGAAAUGCACUUGGACUCGCAACAAAAGUAGAGUGUGCUGAAUUUUGUUCCUGUAAAUUCCAAUAAAAACAGAAAUAUUACAACUAAAUUAUAUAUGAUAUUCAAAUAUUGUUUUUCUUACCUGCAUAUCAGAAAUCGUAGGCUGUGAUGAUAUGAUUUGUUCCAUUAAGCUUGUGUAUGACAUAUUUGCAACCUGCAAAUAAAUUUUCAUAUAGUAUUUUGACUACCACCUUCAAAUUUUUCCUUUAAUAGCAAAAACUUUGUAAUAUGAACUUACUGAAUUCAUUGAUCCGAAAAGAGAUAAUUCAUCAUAUGAAUACUUGUUGCUGUAAUCAACAAAUGCUUCUGUCAUACUUGCUGAAUUAUCCAUACUUUGCUUUUCUACUGUUGCAUCUUCUGCUCCUAAUCCAAUAUGAUCUGUUAUAUUUGCAAUUAAAGUAAUUGUGAUCAAAUUAUAUAUAGGUUCCAGUCAAACUGUAUAACAAUCAAGUUGAAGUUUAAAAUUAUUCUUAUUCUGUUUCAAAUUGACUGUAAUUUUUGCAUUUUGUGUUUUUUUACUGAAGGAAUUAUGCAUUUGUUCAAUUCCAUUUUGAAUUGUUACCUGUGUUUGGUUCAUCCAGAGCAUUGCUUCUUCCUACCUCAUUACCUGUUAUGCCUGCAAUAGAUUGAUUGAUUCAACAUUAAAAAUUAGAGUAAAUUUGUAUUCCAGUUUGAAAUUUUUAGUAUUGGAAUUACAGUUUUUUAUGUAAUUUUUAUACAAAUUAACUGUAAUGAAAGAAUUGUUCUGAAACAGAAUAAGAAUACCUGUGUAAGAUCUUACCUGAGUUUACAAAAGUUGUUUCAUACUCUGUCAAAAUACUUUGUUUCAUAUUCUGAAUUUGUUUUGAGUGAAUACUUCUUUCUCCUUCUGACAAUUCAAUUGUGAUACCUGCAAAAUAAAAAUCAUUAUGAAGGAAGUCAAGAUAGAUACUGUAUUUUCAGUUAUUGUUACAUGUAUUUUUAUUACUUCUUCUCUGUAACUAGUUUUAAUGUUAAUAUUUUAGAUUUUAAAAAGUACCCAGUUGAAAGUAUAUAGUUCAGAUCAUCUAGAUGUUUGUCAUUUUUUUAAAAAAUACAUUGAACUACAUAAUUUUUUGUUUCUUACCUGAGCUCAACAUAGCUGUGUUAAUUUCUGUCAGAUUUGAUUGACUUAUAAUCUCUGUAUCCAUUUCUGUCAGAGCUUUGAAGUGCUUUUUUAUAUCUGAUGGCAUUUUUUUAAAAAAUUUCAGACUCAUUUUAAUCUUCUUAUUUGUGAAUAAAAUUUGAAAUUAUCUUGUUCACCUGAUUCUUUUUCUUCUAUUUCCAUAGAACUCUUGCUUUGUUUCUCCUUUUGUAUGCCACCUGCAUAGAAAGAAUAAAUUAAUAUUGCAAAGAACUUUUGAAUUUCUAAACCAGCAAGUUCUGAAACAUAGAGUGUAUUUCCCAAUCUUUUUCAUAAGUCCAUUUAUAGUGAACAUAUAUUUGUAUUACAGAGAAAUUAUACUAUAAUUCCAGUAAACAUAAAUUGUAACUACUUAAAAAUCCAACUACAAUCAAUUUGAUACUUGAUUAUAGACACUGAAGUGAACAAAUGAAUCAAUUUGUAUAAUUCUUUCAAAAUAAUUUUAAUAUUACACUAAGUAUGUAUUUCAAUUACAGUGUAAUGCUACUAUAAUUCCAGUUAAAAUUUACUGUAACUCUUGUUUACCUAUAUUUUUUCCUUCUAUUUCCUUAGAACUUUUGCAUUCUUUGUCCUUUUGUAUGACACCUGUAAAGAAAUAUUCAAGAUAGUCUUUAAAUGUUUUUCAAACCUGUAUGAGUAUGUUCCAUAAGUAGUAUUACAGUAAAUAAGUAUUUCAAUUAGAGUGUAAUGCUACUGUAAUUCCAGUUAAAAUUUACUUAUGGAACAAACUAUCUGAUGGCACUUUUUCUUAUAAUAUCUGAUGGCACCUUUUCUUUUCUAUUUCUUUCUAUUUCAAUUAGAUAUGAUUUGUUUUGGUUUUUACAUAUGUACUACUUUUGAAGUAUUUGAUACCCUGUUUUUUGCUCGAAAAAUCUGAAAUCAUCUUGAAAUUGAGAUUAAACUGCAUUAGAUCAUGAUUUCAUAUGAAUUUUACAUUGUUUCUUUGUAGUUACAUGUAUUUUCAAUUGAAAUUGUAGUGUUCACUCUAUAUAUUUGUAAUACAAGUUCACUGUAACUAGUUUCAUUAUAUUCUAUUUUGAGACAUUGAACAAAUCAACAAUGAUCUAUUAUCUGAAAUCUUCAUUUUGUUGUCUGAUGAUGAGAGAAACAUUGAACUGAGAUAGUCUUGAGUUUAAAACAUAUCUUGAAUGUGUUCCUGAAUUUGUGCAUGAUUGUGUGAGCUAAACUAUUUUGUUUACUGAACUAAUCUUUUUACAAUGAGUUAAUACUAGAAUUACUGUGAUUCUUAUAUGUAAUUUUAUUACUUUUUUACUGUAACAUGUUAAGAAAUUUGUGAGUUCAUAUGAAUUGGCUCUUUUGUUUGUGUUGUAUGAGAUAUUGAACUUUUAUGUAAUAUUGAGUUGGAUGAGACAAGUGGUUGACAUUGAGAUUUGAAUUUGUCAUUAGUUUAAUAUGGUGAUUAUGCUGAUAAAAUUGAAUGUAUGACAAUUCAGGAUAUGCUAUAUAGCCUAGUUGUUAUAUUUCUGUAUAACUGUAUAACUGUGAUAUCUUCGGAGUGAAAUUCAGUAAGGUUGGAAGACUAAUCAAUCUGUCAUGUUUUUUUUAUAAAUUUAGUUUGGUAUUCAUCAAUAGUACAUAGUAAUACAAUCAUCCAGAAUGCAGUUUUGUAGUACUGAAUGCAGUGUAGUUUUACUUUUAUCAUUACAUAGUUCAGAUCUACAUAGCAAACAUAUGAAAUUUUCAGUUCUGAGUUGUUGUAUUUAUCCAGCAAAGUGGAUUGUUAACCUUGUUUCAUUUGACAUAUUCAACAAUUUCAUGUAUUCUUUUGAAUUGUAUAUUUGACCUAAACUCUCUCUUUGAUCUUUUUCAGGAAUUGUAUAUAGGGGAUAAGAAUUGGAGCCUUGAACUAACCUUGAACUGGAGCCUUCUUGUUUCUCUUGAUUUUGCCUUCCUCUUGUUUUUUCUUUGUGUUCUCCAGAUUCUGUGUUUCCUUUGUAUGGAUCUCAACUUUCUGUUCAGAAGUUGUCUUUGAUUUCUUCUUUCCUCUAGAACUACUCUUUGAUUCUGACAUUGUACUCUCUCCUUCCAUCUGCGAUUUGGAUCCUCUUUUUCUCUCUUCUUUCUCUUCUCCUAGCUCCAUGUUUGAUUCGUGCUAGAUCUGUUUGUGAACUAGUAGUGCUGUUGAAAAGUAGGGGAUUGAAAAGUGUGGUCCCAUACAUGGUUGAUUCACGUGACAUGUUUUUCAUCUACUUGGCUUCCAAGUUUGGUCCCUACUACUUUUUUGGAUAGGCUGUUGGAUUAUGAUUUGGGCUUUAUUUCCUUGUGUUUUGCUUCUAAUUUUGUAUCUUGGGCCUGCUUUUUACUAAUGGGCUUUUAUGGAUCUGGAUAUGGACUUGGGCCUUCAAAUAAUUUGCAUGGGCGAAAAAAUCAUGGGCUUUGUUUAUUUGUGUUUGAUUCAAAUUUUGUAUUUUGGGCCUUCUUUUUACUAAUGGGCUUUUAUGGAUCUGGAUAUGGAUUUGGGCUUUUAUGGAUCUGGAUCUGGAUUUGGGCUUUAAAAAAAUGGCGUUCAAAUAAUCAAAUAAUAUAUCUGUUUUUAAGUGUAAUAUCUAUUUGUAUCACUUUUUCUGAGUUGUUGGAUGUGCAUCCUAUGGUAGAUAAAAUCUGCAUGAUUGGAGCUUCAGAAAUCAUUCGAUUCCUAUAUAGAUAGCCCCAAAAGAAAAAGGAAAGCUGACAGGUGGGCCCAUGAACAAUGCAUUUUCGUCUUUUCUAGAUUUAGUUCAAAUCCUAUUCUUUAGAAGCCCAUAUCUCCUAAACCGUAGAUCCGGUUCCAGUGAAACUUGGAUCUAAAUCCAGCUAAAUUCAAACCCUAUCUUUUGACCCCAAAUUUACUCUUUUAAUAUUUUAUUUGAAUUUAUUCAAAUACUAUUUGAAUUUAUGUUUGUCUUUUCAAAUAUUUCUUUUUAACCCAAAAUACCCUUUAGCCACUAAAAAGCCACCGGUUGGAACUUUACGCCUUUCAUGGGGACGUUCGCGGUUUACUAUCCCCGACGUCGGACCGUUGGUUGUAAAGCCCGGCAAAACCAAACCUAAGGUCGAAGUGCUCCUCCUGGCACCCGAAGCCUCGAUGCGUAUAGUGGUCGGAGCUUCACUAUUUCCUUGAUCUCCACAGCACGCCGCACAGUCAGCUCUUGGGCUCUGUGUGAUCCUAGCCUCUCCGCCGCCAGUCACGGUUGUCGGAGUAACACUUGCGCCCCACUAAACCCACACAAACCUCCUAUCCCUCUAGCUAUUAUGCUGUCUGUUGACACCGGGUAGAGAAGAUACCAAUUCUAGUCGUUAUACUGUUCAACUCUAGCAACGACUAGCAAACACCCAAACCCUAGCCGAUGCCUUCCUAAUUAAAUUCCAACCACCAUCCAAAUUCCAUACCCACCUAUCCACCAUACUAUUAGCUACCUACUCUUCUAGAACCUAUACAUAAAAUAUAGAACCUAGCCGAUAUGUUGCCCUACUCCACAAUCGGCUUAAAUAUAACCAAACCCUAGGUAUUAUACUACCCAAACCUACCACCAGCCAAUACUAGCCACAUACUCACUUAACCAGUUAUAUCCCUUACUCUCCAAGCAACCAAGACCCACACAUGAAAUAUAAAUGACAUGAGUUGCUUGAUCCCCUCUCCACCUCAACCUCCAACCCUCUAGAACCUCCACAUAAAAUAUUAACCCAAUAAUCCCUAUACCCUUUAAAGGAGAUAGAUUAUACCCUAAACCCUAUCCCUCUUAGACGUUUAUCGUUUUCUGGUUAUUUUAUGGCUUUUAUUGAAUUUGGCUCUUCCUCUUCUUCAGUAGAGUUUAUCUUAUUUUGGAUGGCAACCUGUGGCAUUUCAAGGAUCGGAUAAUCAGGUUGCCUACCUUGGAUUUAUUCGCGUUGGAGAAAGGCAAGUUAUUAUUCAUCCCCUUUGAGCAUAAAGAUCCUAUAUUCUUAUAUCUCUAUUCUAUGCAUUAGUCAUACAUGAUUUUGAAUGCAUAACCUGAACAUAGAAAACCAGAUAUGCUAGCUUUGCUUAGCCCUGCCUAGUUAGUUUGCAUAAAAAUAUAAUGAACUUAGAUUGGGACAGUACGUAGGAAUUGGUUGAUUUCUGGGUGGCUAGUACUGUCUCAGUCGAUAUAGUUAUUACCAAGUACUUAUGUCAAACGAACGAGUACGGCCGCAAUACUAGAAUGGGGACAGACCUUGCAAAGUAAGUUAUCUAGCAAAGGUGGUACCUCUGUACAGUGGUUCUUAUUUAAGUCCUCGUGCAAGAGGCAAACUUAUGCCGAGAAGGGCAUAUGCCGAGAAGGGCAAAUAUAACAUUUACUGAGGCGCAGGUAAAUGAUUUGUUGAGUUAAGUGUGUGUAUAUUGUGAAAACCUGGUUGAGAUGACGGGGGUCUCUCAAACCAGUUCCCUCUCUAAAAACCUCGGGAACGCCAGAACUCCUCUCGCUGCUGAUAAAAUUACGUUCAGAGCGCAUGAGGAUGAGAGUUCAUGGAACAGGUGCCACUGAUGCUAGUAACCGAAAAGCUUUGCCAUGACUAAGCUAAUGAAUAUUGACAUGUCAUGGAUUGCGGGUAAAGCGUACAUUUACUGCAGUAAAGUAAACCUGAAUCUAUUCGAAUAGCCGUGCUCACGGAAUUGAGUAUCGGGACUCAUAUGGUACUUUGGUUAGAAACCUAAUUCAAGAUUUUACUAAAUGCUGCUGCAUUUAAAACAUCAGGCUUUCUAUUUCUAUAUUCUCUGCCUUCUGCAGGUAAUCGUAAUCCUACUCAAAUAUUACCUUUUCAUACAUUCAUUAUUGAAUAUAAUAGCUUGCUGACCCUUGCUUCAAACCCCUUUUUCCAGAAUUAAAUUGAAGUUCUUGCCGAAGCCAGGAGUUCAAUCAUAUAAGUUAGUCUUAUUUUAACCUAGUUCUCAAAUCUAGAUUAGUUAGAUGGUUUAAGUCAAUAGCAAAAUAUUAGGGUUGAGUCACUCUAUAGCUUCUACUGUAAUAGUUAGCCACAAUCUUUUAAAUUCCCCUAUUAAUUUAUGUAAUAACAACUCCUUUGGAGCCUUGUUCAAAUGUACGCAAUGAAGAUCCAGAUUGUUGAAGCUGUAUCAAUCUACUGAUCCAGGGCUUGAUACAGUUAAACAUGUCGGUUUCCGAAUCAUUAGUUUUGGGAUCCGACAGCAGCCGGUCUGACCGAUCGCCGGUCUGACCGCGGGAUCCACUACGGUCUGACCGGUUUCCUCGAGGGAAAACCAGAUUUUUGCCACUUUGAUUUUGCAAAAAACAAUCUCUCUCUCCUUUUUCUGUUUAUGAGCUAAUCUGAAACAAAAACCAACAAUAUGUCCAUCUUUGCCACAAAAAGAACAAGUAUAUUUUUCACGAUGAUUAGACACAUUAUUAGAAUUAGAAGACUUAGCAACAUAAGCAGUAACAAGAGGUUUUGCAUGCACAACAUUGGAUUUUGAAGAAGAUGCACUCAAGGUAGACAUAAUACUAGCAGAUUUAAACACAAUUUUAUUAGUAUCAGGUUUAACCAAAAUCUCACCACCUCUAGCACCAGCACCUAACACAACAGGAGGAUGUCUAGAAUUAUGAGCAUAAGGAUUAAAACCUAAACCACGAUUAUUUGUGCUAACCUUAGAUUGAUCUAAAAUCAUGUUGAGGUUCUUUUUACCAUCAGAAAAUCUUAGCAAAGAAUUUUUCAAAUAAGAAACCUCCAUUUCCAAAUUAGCACAAUUUUCACUAUCUACCAUAACACCUUUGCUUUUACGACAUCUGGGGCAAGAAAACACUUCAUUGUUUUUUACAACAUCUUCCAUGUACUCAACACGAUCUAAAGCAUCUUUCAAUUUCAUCUUAUUCAAAUUACUUGUUGAGCAAUCAAAAACAUCAUGAGGUUGUUUUAACUUUUUAGCAGAAAUCAUGUUAAACAUCAAACUAGCAUGAAAAGCAAUUUGAUAUUUUUGCAACAACUUUUUAGUUAAAAACAACUCAUCCAAAGUGCGUGUGUGCAAAGCAAAACUACAAGCAAGAGAAGAUCUAUUUUUCAAAUCAUGUGCAGCAUUAACAUCUCUAAUUUUUGAAAUCUCAUUCAUUAAAACCUCACAAUUUGAGCAAUCAUCAUCAUUAGGAAUAAGAGAUUUUAACCUAUCAAUUUCAGAUUUAAGAGAUUCAAUGAUAAAUUCCUGUUUUCUAUACAUCUUCUUACACUUCUUAUUUUUUACACUCAAAAUAUUAAUAGCUUCCUCAAAAGCACUUACCUCAUUAUCUUCAUACUCUGUAUCCGAUUCACCACGCGCCAUGAAGCAAACACCGGAGAUGUUCUUUCCCUUGUCAUCAUCUCCACUCUUACCAUCUACAUCACUUAGUGGCUCGAAGGCGGCGCAAACUUGUUGAAAAGCCUUCCUGAGAUUCUCCAGCUUCCUCCCUAGGGAUGAACCCUUCGACUUGUUGUUGUUGGUCUUCUCACCAUCUUUGUCUUCUCUUUUGCCUCUCCCAAGCUUAGGACAAUGCGAACGAAGAUGAUCAAUUGAAUCACAUUAAAAGCAACGAUUUGGACCACCUCUUUUCCUGUUCCUGGCAUUAUUCAUAGCUCGAGCAAUUCUGUUAGCAACCAAAGCCAAAUCCUCCUCCUCGAUCUGUUCGAGUUGAUCAUCGGAUGUGGCAUUAAAAAUAGCUAGAAAAGAAGGCUUAGAUGAAGAAGCAUCAACAUCCAAAGAAGAAGAAGAAGAAACCAAAGCACUCGACUUAGAAUCAACUUUUUGUGAAAGAACAUUCAUCUCAUGUGUUUUCAAUUUUGUGUAAAGUGAAUCCAAAGUCAAAGUAGACAUAUCAACCGACUCCUGAAUAGAUGUAACUUUCAUCUCCCAAAUAGACAUGUCAAGACAAUUCAAAAAGUGACGAGAAAUCUCAGAUUGUGGAUAAUUAGCAUCAUAAGAAGAAUCAACAGAUCUAAGAUCACUCAAAAUUUUAUUAAACGUAGAAAGAUAGUCAUCCAAAGUUUCUCCAGGUUUUAUCUCAAAUUUAAUGUACUCCUUUUUGAAAAUAUCACGACGAAGUUCUUUAAUGUUAUUUGUUCCUUGAUGAAAGUUACUCAAAGCAUUCCAAAUUUCAUAUGCAGUUCGAAAAUGCGCAAUACGAUCAUAAUCCGAACGAGAAAUACCACUCAAAAGAAUGUUGCGAGCUUUGCAAUUUUGUUCAAAAGCAGUUUUUUCAGUAGCAAUAUUAAUGGAAUCAAAUAAGGAUGAGAAACUUUUCUCCAAAUAUCAUAAUCUUCAGCCAUAAUGUAAGAUUGCAUCCUACUACACCAAUGAGAAAAAUCUGUUCCAUCGAAAACAUGAGGCUUAGUUGAAAACCUAACAGGAGUAGCCAUGGCAAAAACUCUAGAUCGAUAAAAAUCCAAAGAAGAAAACAAGGCUCUGAUACCACUUGUAAGAUCGAAUCACAUUAACUAAGCCAACCAGAGGGGGGGGGGGGUGAAUGGUUGGUAUACCCAAAAACCGAAAACUUUUAGCGGAAAUAAAAGUUACCCUCGAAAUUGACGGAAGUCGGUCUGACCGAGAUUGAUCUAUCGGUCUGACCGAGUAGAUGCCGCCAGUCUGACCGGUGUUGAAUCUCUAGUCUGACCGCCGAAGUCGCCUGCCGCGCCUGUCGCCGCCGCCGGUCUGACCGCCGUGCUCCUGCCGGUCUGACCGCCGCUUGCCGCCGGUCUGACCGCCGGUAUAUCGCCGGUUAGACCGCCGAAACCCGGUGAAACAGAAAUCAAAGAACUCUUAAAGUAGAUGACGACUUUAUUGAUUCUCUCUAUGUUUACAAAGUGCACCAACAACACUCCUUACAAAAAUUUCGACUAAACUCGAAACCCUAACUCAAAACUCAACUCAAUUGCUCUAAAAAGCGAUACUGGGAAGCCUCACGCUCCCCCUCUAUUUAUACCCGAGGUAGGCAGCCUAAAGCCACGAACCAAACUCAUACUAGGAGUCCUAAACACCUUAGGAAACCCUCUAGUACAAGAAACAAACUUUACAUAACCAAUCAUACCAAAUUUGGACUCCUUCCAAAUUCGAC